ACCCGCUGAACUUAAGCAUAUCAAUAAGCGGAGGAAAAGAAAAUAACAAUGAUUUCCCUAGUAACGGCGAGUGAAGAGGAAAGAGCUCAAAGUUGGAACCUAUUUGGCUUAGCUAAAUCGGAUUGUAAACUGUAGAAGUGUUUUCCAGACACGCCUGGUAAAAAAGUCCUUUGGAACAGGGCAUCAUAGAGGGUGAGAAUCCCGUCAUUGGCCAGAGCUGUUGUCUUUUGUGAUACAUUUUCAAAGAGUCAGGUUGUUUGGGAAUGCAGCCUAAAUUGGGUGGUAAAUCUCACCUAAAGCUAAAUAUUUGCGAGAGACCGAUAGCGAACAAGUACCGUGAGGGAAAGAUGAAAAGAACUUUGAAAAGAGAGUUAAACAGUAUGUGAAAUUGUUAAAAGGGAACCGUUUGGAGCCAGACUGGCUUAAUCGUAAUCAAUCUAGGCUUUGGCCUGGAUGCACUUGCGGUUUAUGCCGGCCAACGACAGUUUUGUUUGGGAGAAAAAAUUACAUUGAAUGUGGCCCCUCGGGGUGUUAUAGCUUUGUAAAAAAUAUCCUGGACUGGACUGAGGAACGCAGUGAAUGCCUUUAGGCAAGAUUGCUGGGUGCUUUCGCUAAUACAUGCUAGAAUUUCUGCUUCGGGUGGUGCUAGUGUUUAAAGGAGGAACUCGCCUGGUAUAUUUUUUAUUCGCUUAGGUUGUUGGCUUAAUGACUCUAAAUGACCCGUCUUGAAACACGGACC
This 739-nucleotide ribosomal RNA is filed under the name Mucor hiemalis. RNAcentral describes it as "eukaryotic LSU rRNA". It matches the Rfam family "Eukaryotic large subunit ribosomal RNA", at positions 23 to 667 of the family's 3401-position model. The record is from RNAcentral. Lineage: Eukaryota; Fungi; Mucoromycota; Mucoromycetes; Mucorales; Mucoraceae.